UCACACGGUGCUGAUACGUAUAUAUGUGA
RNAcentral lists this non-coding RNA (29 nucleotides) under Rattus norvegicus (Norway rat). The record is from RNAcentral. Lineage: Eukaryota; Metazoa; Chordata; Mammalia; Rodentia; Muridae.